Saccoglossus kowalevskii is the source of this 1218-nucleotide long non-coding RNA. RefSeq lists it as uncharacterized. Lineage: Eukaryota; Metazoa; Hemichordata; Enteropneusta; Harrimaniidae. The record is from RefSeq and is a predicted model, not a curated record.
CAAAGUACCCUUCACUGUGCCCGUUGUACGUUUCAACGCUACCGUCACACCCAAGACUCUCUUGGUCGUUACUGCCUCUCGUUUAUUUUGACUGGCUCAUUACAGCUCCCUGCCUCUAUCAACGUGAAAGUUAUACAGCUGUUUCCUUACUGGGUCUACCUAUCAACAUGGCGUGUAACUGGCAAUACGUAGUAAUUGUUAUACUUGGCUCAGUGUAUGCAGUGGCUGCAGAGACGGAAAAGAAAUAUUCAAUGGAUAUCGUCUCGGCAAUGGUAGCUGCCACUGUUGGAAUUAUGGUUGCAGGGAUCGGACUGGUAAUGUACAUGUACGACGUGAACUGUCGGCGGUACACCAACGAUCAUGGAGACGAGAACCCCGAAGAACAUGUUCAUAUGCAGAUAGUGGAGGUGGAGCCAUAGUUGAGCGCCCUCACCGUUGAAUUCCACCCCCACUUCUCCUUGCAGACGUUCCAGUAAGCACAUAAUUUUGAACGGAGCAAGUGUCAUGUAAUUUGAAUAAUAUCACCACGGGUUGGACUGGAAAGAGAAUACGGCGAACAAACUCCGCACAAUAAAUACUCGACAGAAAACCUGGAUUCAACCAUAGCUGUGAUGGGGGUGGGUGGGUGUAAGACGAACCAGGGGUGGGAUUUAAAGGAAUUGUUUUGAUUUAAAACGACAGCACAUUUAUGUAUAACAUACUAAUUGUAUUUACAAAGUUUUACUUACAUGCACGUGUUUUUAAAAUAAAAGUAUUUCGAUUGAAAUUAACCAUAGCCGCUAUAUUUUGAAAUUAGCAUGAAUGUCUAACGCCGGGGGUGGGAGAGAAUUUAAUCUCACAGAAAGUUGACACCAAAGCUUCUGAACAUAGUUUUGAAAAACAAUCUCUUAAACUAAAGACAGUAUAGUAGUAUACUAUCUAUGUUUAAAGCGCGGAGGUCGUCGCCGCCGCGCAGCGCGUGUUCGAAUUUCAUGUAAAUAAACAAUGUAUUUUACACACAUGAGUCCCAUAUCGAACAGAACGCGGCACGACGACCACCGCCCUUAAAACGAAUUUUAAAACCUCCCAUUCUAAUCGUGUUUAAUCUGUAAACUACCUAGAAUCAUGCCCUCUAUCGUUAGCACGCUUUUGUAAUUACUGGUACAUUUAGGUGAAACCAGCAUAGAUAUGUUUUUUAUCUGUACUCUGUCAAUAAAUAUGUUGAGACGAACGACUGUA